RNAcentral lists this ribosomal RNA (253 nucleotides) under uncultured bacterium. Its description in RNAcentral is "partial 16S ribosomal RNA". It matches the Rfam family "Bacterial small subunit ribosomal RNA", at positions 524 to 776 of the family's 1533-position model. The record is from RNAcentral.
UACGUAGGGUGCGAGCGUUAAUCGGAAUUACUGGGCGUAAAGCGUGCGCAGGCGGUUCGUUGUGUCUGAUGUGAAAGCCCCGGGCUCAACUUGGGAAUGGCAUUGGAAACUGGCGAGCUAGAGUGCGGUAGAGGGUAGUGGAAUUCCCGGUGUAGCGGUGAAAUGCGUAGAGAUCGGGAGGAACACCAGUGGCGAAGGCGGCUACCUGGACCAGCACUGACACUGAGGCACGAAAGCGUGGGGAGCAAACAGG